Molecule: long non-coding RNA, 209 nt
Organism: Chinchilla lanigera (long-tailed chinchilla)
Lineage: Eukaryota; Metazoa; Chordata; Mammalia; Rodentia; Chinchillidae
Exons: 3
Source: RefSeq, a predicted model, not a curated record
GUCCAGGUCCCCGCAGCAGCCUGUACAGUCCUGUUACUUGCAGGGGUGGGCGAGCCCCUGGGAGGACGCCGGCGACCCCGGACAUGGUGCCAUGAACUGUUCUUUUUGGUGACCCUGUGCAUGUGUCGCUGUCUCAGAGCCAGGCAACUAUGGGCUGAAAACUCUACAAAAUGGUCGUGACACUCGCCGCGUGAAGGAAGACUCCAAGA